This 467-nucleotide ribosomal RNA is filed under the name uncultured bacterium. RNAcentral's name for it is "partial 16S ribosomal RNA". It matches the Rfam family "Bacterial small subunit ribosomal RNA", at positions 29 to 507 of the family's 1533-position model. The record is from RNAcentral.
ACGAACGCUGGCGGCGUGCUUAACACAUGCAAGUCGAACGGAAAGGCCCUGCUUUUGUGGGGUGCUCGAGUGGCGAACGGGUGAGUAACACGUGAGUAACCUGCCCUUGACUUUGGGAUAACUUCAGGAAACUGGGGCUAAUACCGGAUAGGAGCUCCUGCUGCAUGGUGGGGGUUGGAAAGUUUCGGCGGUUGGGGAUGGACUCGCGGCUUAUCAGCUUGUUGGUGGGGUAGUGGCUUACCAAGGCUUUGACGGGUAGCCGGCCUGAGAGGGUGACCGGCCACAUUGGGACUGAGAUACGGCCCAGACUCCUACGGGAGGCAGCAGUGGGGAAUAUUGCACAAUGGGCGGAAGCCUGAUGCAGCAACGCCGCGUGCGGGAUGACGGGCUUCGGGUUGUAAACCGCUUUCGCCUGUGACGAAGCGUGAGUGACGGUAAUGGGUAAAGAAGCACCGGCUAACUACGUG